RNAcentral lists this ribosomal RNA (497 nucleotides) under uncultured bacterium. RNAcentral's name for it is "partial 16S ribosomal RNA". It matches the Rfam family "Bacterial small subunit ribosomal RNA", at positions 28 to 507 of the family's 1533-position model. The record is from RNAcentral.
GAUGAACGCUGGCGGCGUGCCUAAUACAUGCAAGUCGAGCGAACGGACGAGAAGCUUGCUUCUCUGAUGUUAGCGGUGGACGGGUGGGUAACACGUGGAUAACCUACCUAUAAGACUGGGAUAACUUCGGGAAACCGGCGCUAAUCCCGGAUGAUAUUUUGAACCGCAUGGUUCAAAAGUGAAAUACGGUCUUGCUGUCACUUAUAGAUGGAUCCGCGCUGCAUUAGCUGGUUGGUAAGGUAACGGCUUACCAAGGCAACUAGGCAUAGCCGACCUGAUGGACUGAUAGGCGACAUGGGAGCUGAGCCGCGGUCAAGACGCCUACGGGAGGCAGCAGUAGCGAAUCUGACGCAAUGGGCGGAAGCCUGACAGAGCAACGCCGCGUCAGAGAUAAAGGUCUUCGGAUCGUAAAACUCUGUUAUUAGGGAAAAACAUAUGUGUAAGUAACUGUGCACAUCGUGACGGUACCUAAUCAGAAAGCCACGGCUAACUACGUG